AACACGACUCUCGGCAACGGAUAUCUUGGCUCUCGCAUCGAUGAAGAACGUAGCAAAAUGCGAUACCUGGUGUGAAUUGCAGAAUCCCGCGAACCAUCGAGUUUUUGAACGCAAGUUGCGCCCGAGGCCUUCUGGUUGAGGGCACGCCUGCCUGGGCGUCACGC
Molecule: ribosomal RNA, 164 nt
Filed under: Oplismenus compositus
Lineage: Eukaryota; Viridiplantae; Streptophyta; Magnoliopsida; Poales; Poaceae
Description: 5.8S ribosomal RNA
Rfam family: 5.8S ribosomal RNA
About the family: 5.8S ribosomal RNA (5.8S rRNA) is a component of the large subunit of the eukaryotic ribosome. It is transcribed by RNA polymerase I as part of the 45S precursor that also contains 18S and 28S rRNA.
Source: RNAcentral